Long non-coding RNA from Passer domesticus (house sparrow), 6889 nucleotides. RefSeq lists it as uncharacterized. NCBI's taxonomy places the organism in Eukaryota, Metazoa, Chordata, Aves, Passeriformes, Passeridae. The transcript is spliced from 2 exons. The record is from RefSeq and is a predicted model, not a curated record.
GCUGAGCAGGGAACGGGCGUGGUGUGCGUGGAGGUGGAGGUGGAGGUGGAGGUGGAGGUGGAGGUGGAGGUGGUCCCUCCGCCUGCAGCGUCCCGAUCUCAGAGACCAUGGCCAAGGAUUCGGGGAGGGAGUGCAGGAAUAGAAGGAAAGCCUGGACGUCCCAAGGCUGGUGUAAGGCUACCCGGUUCCUGGGCUCAGGGGCACAAACCUCACAUCGGCGCAGAGGAUGAGGAGGAGAAGGACAGAGUUAAGAGCUCUGAUAUUGGCUACACGACUUCCCCCCUAAGCAGUUGGUGAUGCGUGCUUUGGACUAAGACUGUAAGGGACACAAAGAAGAUUAAGGGACAGAAACAUCUGUUACACGGAGCGUGCUGGGGUAGUGUAGCCUGGAGGAAGGGAAGGCUGAGGUGGAUCCAGACAGUAUGUGCAAGUACCUGAUGGGAGAGUAUGAACACCAUAGACUGUGCUCUGUGGUGCCCGGGGGCCAGGACAAGAUAUCUAAGGACAGUGUGAGGAUAUUGGCACAGGCUGUUCAGAGAGAUGAUGGAGUGUCCAUCCUUGGAGCUACUCAAACCCCAAUUAGACCCAGCCCUGGGCAAGCAGCUGUAGCUGACCUUGCUUUGAUGCAGAGCUGGAUGAUUCACCACAGAGGCUGUUUAGUAACUGCAAACAUGGCCAGCAUUAGGGCUGGUCUUAGCACAAGGACAAAGCUUGUGGGUUCAGGUUGUGUGGGACUCCUGAGGAGCUGCCCUGAGCAGGAGCUAUUCAUCCAGGCUGUGGCUGGGGGUCUAACACUGAGGUUUCCAAGGUGAAAAUGUGACAUGCAUUAGCAAUAUUACUUGGUACUCUACUGUAUUGCACUGAAAGAUUUAUAUGGUCUUGAAAGUCAUUAUACUAUUUGGUUAUAAAAUAUGUAAGUAUGCCAGAUGCAGACAUGUCAGCUUCUUGGAAGUGGGAAAUAGCACUAUUUUUGCACUAUAGUUGUUUGGGUUUCUUUUUUUAAAAACCUAAACCAACAUGAUAAUUACAGAGGAAUCCAAUUCUGCAAAAUAGCAGUGUUAAGUUACUCUCUGCUGAACAUGGUAAAUGUGCUCUUGUAUGGACAGUACAAAAUCCAAAGACACAGAGCAGUGAAUCCCUCCAUUGGCACUAAAGGGAUAGUGUUCCUUUCCUAAGGAACCCAGAUACAGCCCAGCUAUCACAGACCAAACCAAACACCCUGUGCAGCUCUAUCCACCAUCUUCUGAGAUCCUGCAUCUUCAACAAGUUGCUACAAUUUAUAGCCUCUGUUUAAAAAUUUAAAAAAAAAAAAAAGACCCAUCUGGCUGGUUGCAGUUAGGUUUGACACAUAAAAGUGUAACUCAGCAGUUCCUCCUUGCAACUAGUUCUGCUUUGAUGGAAAAAUGAGAACUGACAAAUGAAUACAAGGAAAAAAAACAGUUCAAAAGUGCUGUAAUGGUGUGGAUGUUACGAGAUGUUGGCACUAAGUACGGCAGACAGGAUUUUAAUCAACAUCAGCUAUUUUGGGGAGGAUGAUUUAGUUGCUUGCAGGGUGUGACUCACAUUUCUUGACAAUAAGCUGUGAUUUUAUAUGUAAUUCUUAUCCUGCAGCAGCAGUCAAGUCAGAACAAUGUUAUUUACCAGUGAAACUCAGCUUCAUCCCAGAAGGAUCACUUCUGAAGUGUAACAGUUAAUCUCUCCCUUACUGUGGAUUUUUCCCACUAUUAAUGAGAUUAAGGAUCUUGUUUCUGUAGGCUUUAACAGACAAGACUUAAUUUAUUAGCACCCUUUGAAGUAGUAACCUAAAACAGAGUAUCCACUACUCCUGUCAUUUCUGUAUGCUCCUCUGAAGGUCAAAUAGUACUGAAAAUUGUCCCAUCUAUAGAAAAACAAAUCUUAGUAUGACGCGUGACUCUUCAUAACAGCAGCAAAUCUCCUUAGGGAUCUUCCAUCUGUUUCCAAAGCUUAGGAGAGGUUGCUUGAUGAACAAAACUGCCUGUUGGUGAGACCUGGGAAAGAAACAACUAUAAAAUCCAGCUCUCUUCUAGCAAUGCUGCCAGACUGUGUGGCAGCACACCCUUCUACACUGGUUCACUGCUUUGAAGAAUCUUUUUCCCCCAGCUUUUACCAACUUGAUCCCCUAUUCCCCCUGCAAAUGCAAGGCCCUGCCAUAUUACAGACCCUGCUGUGGAACUUCAAGGCCAGAAAUUUCACGGAACUGUCUAAAUCAACAUUUAAGUCUAUUAAUUUUAGCAUCAGUGAAAUACCAUACAUGGAUUAUAAAAUCUGUCAGUGUAUUAUAAAUCUUAAGAUACUAUUAGGUAAGCAUUCUCUUGAAUACUUCUGAUGCAUUUCACUUUAACCCCAGCGGUGGAACCAACAAGACCUAAGAGGUCCCAGCUCCACAAACUUUUGAUGAGUUGUCCAUUCAAACAUUCCUAAAUGCAGAAUGGGUCAAAAAGCAUUUGGGGAAAAAGUCCAGGAGAGAAGGCCAUUAUCUCUCUUCUGCCAAACACAGAGAAUUCUGCUGUACAUCCCCACAUUUUCUACUGCCUCUAUGAGGGAACAGGAUGCAUACUAUGGACUUGGUCAACAUCUUCAUUUCACUGCCUUUUCUUCAAACACCAGCAAGACUGUAGUACAGACUACCUAAAGGAGUGGAACAACAGUGUAUAUGGAAUGAUAGGUGCAGAAGGCAGAAUUUAACACAGAUUUAAAAUUAUUUGUUUUGUAGAGAGCUGACUGCAUAGGCAAAUAUAACUUCACACAGUUAUCACUGUAAGGACCAUCAUCAGUAAAAACACCAAGAGCUGUGCUGCCAACCUGACAUCUCAUGUACCUCAAGAGAAGCAGAUGCUGCACUGCCCAACAGCAUCACACUAGUGUGCUCACUGAGCAAGCCCAAAACAUUUUUCCCAUUGGAAAUUUUCGGGGUUCUGGGGUUGGGAUGACCCCGAGAUAGUAGAAAGUCUUUUUGCUCCCAGCGCCACAACCAAAGAAGUAGAGAUUUGUCACUUCUGCUUUUCAAGGUUAUUUUUCCUUAUCUAUAACAUUCUUUCCCUGACCAGCUGAGAUCGGUCCAGCAGGUUGGGUUGCGGCACCCUGUCUGCCCUUGGGGUGGUACUCUGUCUCACCCCUCCAAAAUGUACAGUAUAUUCUAAGCAUGUGGUCCUGCCCUGAACCAUCAUGUAUCUGUAAUCCCAUUGGCCCAAGUGUUAUUCCGCACCCACUUUAAAUUCCCCUCUUAAGCUGUGCUAGCGAAAUCAAUGCUCUCUUAGCCUUUCUCCUCUCUUAGCCCAUCUCCCCUCUUGCUCCCUCCCUCCCCUAGGCUCUCCCUCUCCCCCUCCCUCCCCCUUUCCCCUUCCCCCUCAGUAACCAUGCUGCUCCCAGGGAUGGGACCCCCAAUAAACCCCCAUCUAAUCAGCACCCUCAGAAGGCGUGUGGAGUCUCCUUUCCUGCCUGCUGCUGCCAGCCAACUCACAGCUUAGGGUGCCCUCCAGGGACUCCCCGGGGUGCCCCCACCAAUGAACUGCAACAGUGGUAUUAACAUUGUAUACUAAGAACAAGGUGUACUUUAUUUACAAUAAUUUUCCAAUACCUAUCACCUAUGGUAGACAGUCUGUCUCUACUCUAAACCAGUCAAGAAGUGUCACCAUCACAGCAGAAGAUGGAGCACAAGAAGGAGAAGGACAGGACACGUCCAAAUUCCUCCAUCUUGCCUCCUGAACUCCCAUUCUAAAACUCCAAAAUCCUACUUUUUCACCCUGUGACAAAUCAGCUAUCAUUCUACUCAAACUCUUGUGGCUUGUAAAUCUUCAUACAAAGAAGUAUGUUUGUUCCAUGGGCUAAAACCGAAGGCACAAAUGUUUUUGACUCCGUGCCUAGGUCUCUGAGCCCCCUGCCAGGGUCUCGAGUCAUCCAGGGCAGAGAGUGGAAUAUCCUGGGUUCCGACAGAAAAUGCAUCACUACUGCUGUACAUCACACACAGUUCCUCUCAUAAUCCUUGGAAUAGUUUGGUCUAGAAAUAAAAGUUUCUAUGACAAAGUUCACAGCUGCAAUAACUACUGACUCAAAUACACCACGUUUUGUUUGUACUGGCUCUUUUGUUUAGACUGAGGGACUCAUACAUAGAAGAGCAAUGGAUUGUUUCUAUUUUCUUCUAGUCUAGACAUUCUAGAUUCAAAAUUAAAAGUUGAGUUAUUUUUUGAUGUUAUAGGAGGAUCUCAAUCCCAUCUUCAGCAGAUGGAUACAGCUACAGCAGAAGGCAUCUACAGCACUUGACUGGGGCUGGGCUCCCUCCCAAGCAGUGUUCGAACUGCUGACUCCCAUUAACCACAGCAAUCCCUGUGGAGACUGCAUACACUAUUUACUUCUCCAAAAGAUGCCACGUUCUAGAUUCCUCUUUGCUGUUACAAAAGCAACUUUGCACUUAAGGAAGAUACAAAUACAGUAUGACUAGUCUAUAUAAUCAACACCACUGGUCUUUACUACUUUGUAAACUGCUGAUUAAGCUGUAAAAAUCACUUCCUUCAAGUCAGCACUAUAGGUAUCAAAUGAGUUAAGAACUUCUCCUCUCUGAUUAGCGAAGAUCAGCCUCUGUUGAUUCUCCGUAUCAAAUUAAUUUGAAGUUUUCAUAUCAGAUACUUUGCUCAACAACACAUUUGCUGUGACUUUGCUCAUAAACACAUUUUAAGAGGACAGGCAAGUCAAAAUAUAUUAAAAGUCCCUCUGGUUUAUGAUAAUGUUGUUAGGAAUGCAGAAUUAAAUAAGAAUACAAAAAACAUUGAAUGCAAAGUUAAAUACAAUACAAACUUUAUUAAAAAUAGGUUGCAAGUGAAAUACAGUAGAAAUGGGAAACUACAGCAGUUUUGAUGGUUUUUUUUUUCAAAUAAUGCACAGACAAAUAUGAAAAGCACUUUUACACAUAUUCACACUUGACCCGAAUGCCCAAUAGCGGCCAAAUCCACUCAGCUGAAGGUUAUAGGUUAUUUUUUUGCUAAGCCUUUUUCAGAGUCUAGCAGCAACAGUAAUUCAGCCACAGCGUAAGUUUUUUCCUCUCACUGUAAGGCUGCUAGUGUUCUCAAGAUAAAUUGGGAGAGGCUUGCUUUUGCUGAUGAACAGACAAAGCAAGCAUGCAGAUCCUUCAUUAACACUUUCAACCAGUUUAAUCUUCUACUUCAUAUUUAACAGGUGAAACGGUAAAAGCACACUUUCAAAUAAGAAACCUGAAAUACGUAAAAAAUAUUUACACUCCAAUUUUCAUUAACUUGCAUUUAUUUAUCAUACAGCUCUUAUUAAAAGUGAUUUCUUUCCUAAGGCAGUGAAAAUCUACCCCUUUGUAUUUGGAAGUGUGCACAAAUCCCUAAAUAUAUAUUUAUAAGAGAACAAUAUGAUACAGGAAAAAAAAUCAUCUAAAGCCAGUAAAGGGCUCUGUCAAAUAGAAAAUUUGUUUGGAAUCACAAUAUAUAUUGUCUUAACAUCACACAAUGAGAAAGACUCUGAUGAGGUCCUUAUUCCCAACAUCAUCAGCCACAUAGGCAUAGCUGAGGAAAUAGUGGGAGGAAAAAGAUUAACAAUUAAAAAUUAAAUAAGGCUAUAACAGUGUGAAAAAAUAGCUUGAACUGCCAAAAAGGCUUUCAGUACAACCAUAAUAGGAUGUCAGUAAAGCCAGCUAGACGGAAUGGGAGCUCACUAGCACUGCUUCCUCAGCAUGAGCAGGGAUGGUUCCUUGCUAGUACACCAGCCGUGUUAAUGACCUUAUGAAUGUUCCCACUUCCAGACUGCAGUACUGUAUUUGAUGCUUUAUACUUCAGUCUUCUUCUCUAAUAUGCCAAUUGAUAUCUCCAUAGAAAAAAAAUAUAUUGCUGAACUGAUAAUAACAGACUUAUCAAUACUGUUCCAGGCCUAAUUGCCCAAUAACUUCUAAUCUGAGUUUCUCAGAAAACAUACCCAUGUGUUCUGCUUACCUUCUAACUGUAAUCCUUGCCUUUAAGACAUUACUAAUAUUUUGGUCCUAGCUGAUGGAGGGCCACUAAGUGUAGCCUACUAUCUAUUGCUUAUGUAAUUUUUAAUGAAACAGUUAUCCAAAGGUUGUUAUCUUCACAUUUUUUUAAAGUCUGAAGCACAUAUAGUGGGGAUACAACAACGCAGACUUUUCCAUAACUACAGAUAAAAUCUUAGGCAUCCAUUUUAGACCCAACAAAUACAUAGGAAUAGAGAUAUUCUUAUUCCAAGAUUCUAUCUAGAGAAUGUGUGUUAUGCCAGUACUAAGUAAUGGUAAGAUCUGUAUUGAUAUGCUUAUCCUUCUAUGAACACCAUACAGUAUGUCACACUUGCAUAUGAAACCUUAUUUAAGGUGGCCCAGACAUUGGCUUCUUGUCGAACAACCUAAAAUACCAAUUUCUAGUGCCAGUUUACUUUAGGCAGUUCAAGCUAUUCUCACUUUCUCUGCUCAGCAGCUAAAACAAAAGUGUGUCUGUAAAACACCAGGAAACAACUUAUCUUUGACAAGUGCUACUUGGUCUGGUGCAAAAGAACUUUACCCCCAAAACAGAAAAAAAGUUACCUUCACGUGAUUCAUAUCUUUAAAAAUUUACAGUGCUUUCACUGUAUAAACCACAAGUUUCUGGCAAAGUAAUCAGAGUUUUCUUGCUAUUGCAACAUCUCUAAGUCUUAAUUAACAGUCUUAGUAGAUAUAAAGGAAUCAAAGUCACUCCUUUCAGAAAACAUUCAUUUUCUGUCCAUACUUAGUAGUGUGCUCCCAAUCUCAAUCCCUCAAUUUGGAGAUCAUCCAUUACAUCUGAUAAGGUGCUUUCAUCUUAUUUUGUGUUCAACUCAUUUUCCAGUUCCAUUAGUUUCCUAGAAGCUUUUACUUUAUUGGAUACAUCCU